GGGCACAUGGUGUAGUUGGUUAUCACGCUCGCUUAGCAUAUCAAGCGAUUGCGAGAGGUGUUGGGUUCAAUUCCCAAUGUGUCCA
Non-coding RNA from Mycena metata, 85 nucleotides. Lineage: Eukaryota; Fungi; Basidiomycota; Agaricomycetes; Agaricales; Mycenaceae. The record is from the annotation of a GenBank genome assembly.